Hibiscus syriacus is the source of this 261-nucleotide long non-coding RNA. RefSeq lists it as uncharacterized. The record is from RefSeq and is a predicted model, not a curated record. The transcript is spliced from 4 exons. Lineage: Eukaryota; Viridiplantae; Streptophyta; Magnoliopsida; Malvales; Malvaceae.
AAACAUUGAUCCGUUCUCUAUUGUCUCAAGCAGCUGUUUCAGAAGGUUGAAGUUUGUAAACCACGUGCUAGUCGCUUGGCAUCAGCUGAGAUUUAUGUUUUGUGGCUAAGGUAUAAAGCCCCUGCAAAGAUUGAUCCACGUCUUCUUGAUUUCAAACAUCUGUUUCAGGGAUCGAUAGAACCACAAAAGAAGGUGAUUGAUGUACUUAGGGUAACAAAACAGAAGAGACACCGUGAUGGUUAUGAAGAUGGGGAGACAAUC